RNAcentral lists this transfer RNA (73 nucleotides) under Plasmopara halstedii. It matches the Rfam family "tRNA". Rfam says of the family: Transfer RNA (tRNA) molecules are approximately 80 nucleotides in length. Their secondary structure includes four short double-helical elements and three loops (D, anti-codon, and T loops). Further hydrogen bonds mediate the characteristic L-shaped molecular structure. tRNAs have two regions of fundamental functional importance: the anti-codon, which is responsible for specific mRNA codon recognition, and the 3' end, to which the tRNAs corresponding amino acid is attached (by aminoacyl-tRNA synthetases). tRNAs cope with the degeneracy of the genetic code in two manners: having more than one tRNA (with a specific anti-codon) for a particular amino acid; and 'wobble' base-pairing, i.e. permitting non-standard base-pairing at the 3rd anti-codon position. The record is from Rfam by way of RNAcentral. Lineage: Eukaryota; Oomycota; Peronosporomycetes; Peronosporales; Peronosporaceae.
ACCCGUCUAGCUCAGUUGGUAGAGCGCUGGCCUUUUAAGCCAGAGGUCGUGGGUUCGAGCCCCACGGGGGGUG